GUCCAGAUCCUACGGGAGGCAGCAGUGGGGGAUAUUGCACAAUGGGGGAAACCCUGAUGCAGCGACGCCGCGUGUGGGAAGACGGUCUUCUGGAUUGUAAGCCACUGUCCCCAGGGACGAAAAUGACGGUACCUGGGGAGGAAGCUCCGGCUAACUACGUGCCAGCAGCCGCGGUAAUACGUAGGGAGCAAGCGUUGUCCGGAAUUACUGGGUGUAAAGGGAGCGUAGGCGGGGAUGCAAGUUGGGUGUCAAAACUACCGGCUCAACCGAUAGUCGCACUCAAAACUGCAACUCUUGGGUGAAGUAGAGGCAGGCGGAAUUCCUAGUGUAGCGGUGAAAUGCGUAGAUAUUAGGAGGAACACCAGUGGCGAAGGCGGCCUGCUGGACUGCAACUGACGUUGAGGCUCGAAGGCGUGGGGAGCAAACAGGAUUAGAUACCCGAGUACU
Molecule: ribosomal RNA, 447 nt
Filed under: uncultured bacterium
Lineage: Bacteria
Description: partial 16S ribosomal RNA
Rfam family: Bacterial small subunit ribosomal RNA
Source: RNAcentral